GUGCCUAGCAACCAGGCGGCAGAGAGCCCGGGGAGCGGAGCGGGAGGCAGGUCGGGCACACUUCACAGCCACCCCACCUUCCACUGGUAUAUCUGCGCAUUAGCCACGCCACCUCAGAGGUGCUCUGUCUUCUCUCAGCCUGAUUUCCUUGGUCACCUUGCCCAGUGCUUCACUGCAACUUCCUGCUUACCUACCAUUUGUGAUACAAGGUCUCCAAGUUUAUCCUUGCCAGAUCCACAGACCAAGGCCUCCUAACUACCAUGGAAAAAAGUGAGACUCUCCCUUAAAAUCUGACUUUUCAGAAAGAUUAUAUAGCUCAAGCAUACUGAAAGCAAGCUGCUGCCAGGUCAGCUAAGAUCCAUUUUUCUCAUCCACAUGCUGUCAACUUCCAGUAUUCCUUGGAUGACAAGCUGGAAGGCACAAACCUCAGAGCAGGGCAGAGAUUUAUUUUUAAUACAAUCAUUUAAUGUGAUUCUAACUCAUCAUAAUGUUUCUAUGCCCCUCAGGCACAAUCACAUCAGAAAACAUUUUAAAAUGUGAUGGCCUCUAGUGGGGUACAUUCAAAAACCUGACAGCUGU
Molecule: long non-coding RNA, 579 nt
Organism: Rhea pennata
Lineage: Eukaryota; Metazoa; Chordata; Aves; Rheiformes; Rheidae
Exons: 3
Source: RefSeq, a predicted model, not a curated record